AUUUUUAUAGUGUAAAUUAACACAUUACAUUUUCACUGUAAAGCUAAAGCAAUCGCUUUUAAAAAUA
RNAcentral lists this transfer RNA (67 nucleotides) under Lomis hirta. Its description in RNAcentral is "tRNA-Glu". It matches the Rfam family "tRNA". Rfam says of the family: Transfer RNA (tRNA) molecules are approximately 80 nucleotides in length. Their secondary structure includes four short double-helical elements and three loops (D, anti-codon, and T loops). Further hydrogen bonds mediate the characteristic L-shaped molecular structure. tRNAs have two regions of fundamental functional importance: the anti-codon, which is responsible for specific mRNA codon recognition, and the 3' end, to which the tRNAs corresponding amino acid is attached (by aminoacyl-tRNA synthetases). tRNAs cope with the degeneracy of the genetic code in two manners: having more than one tRNA (with a specific anti-codon) for a particular amino acid; and 'wobble' base-pairing, i.e. permitting non-standard base-pairing at the 3rd anti-codon position. The record is from RNAcentral. Lineage: Eukaryota; Metazoa; Arthropoda; Malacostraca; Decapoda; Lomidae.